Molecule: long non-coding RNA, 1247 nt
Organism: Vigna radiata var. radiata (mung bean)
Lineage: Eukaryota; Viridiplantae; Streptophyta; Magnoliopsida; Fabales; Fabaceae
Exons: 4
Source: RefSeq, a predicted model, not a curated record
AUCACUGUAUUCCUCUCUAAAAUUCAUUUCUCACCAACAGCUUGUCCCUUCUCCAAAAUAAAAAACGCUAAACCCUUCUCCAUUGCACGAAACACUUGCUCGAAGAUUUGGUUUUUGCAUCAAUCUUGGCUAGGAAAUCGUUGGACGAGUGCUUUGCAGUGAUUUCUGUGACGAUGUGAAUCGUGGUGGGUAGGAGGCUCCAUUAGAGUUGAAUCGUGGUGGGACGAGGGUUUGGUGGUUGGCGGAGGCUUCGUGGUUCGUCAACGUUGGCGUGAGGAGGCGACAAUGCUGAGGAAAGGCUCGCUGAUCUGUUUAGUGAGGUGGAGGUUUGGUGCAGCUCUGGGCUUGAACGAAUAAGCUGUCUCAUUCUCUGCAAACCGAACCAGACACAAGCUCUGGGACGGGCGAUCCAUGUUGAUGAGGUCUUUACACAGACCCAUGUUCGAAAGGGCACUAAUGAAUUCGUUCAUGAAAGAUCUCAGAAGACUCAUAAUUUUCUACGAGACUUUCACAAGCUAGAUCUGAACAUGGGUUAGCUCCUACACCGGAUGAUGCGAGUAAUGCAGAAGACGACAUCCGUAGGACAUAGUGCUGGGUCGACAUCGUUGGCGGAAAGAAAAGGGGACGAGUGUAUGGUGCAGGACAACUUGCUGCAAACUAUACAACAUUAAGAGGAGGUACUCUAAAGCACCAACCUUCUUCUUCCACCACUACUGUUGACGAGGGCGCCGUUGUCCGCCUUACGCAAGCACUGGAGCAACGUGAGCAGGAAAUCACUGAUUUGAGAGCAAAGUUUAGAAACUUUAAGGCCUUGGUCAUGAGUAUGUUGCCUCAAACUACACAGGAUCGAUUCAUUAUCUCUCCGACCCAGCCUCAACCCUCCCUGUCACUCGCCGUCUCUCAACAGCCCACAUCAGUCCAGCCCUCAUUAGUCCAAUCGAUAUCAGUCCAACCCACACCAGUCCAACCAUCUACAGAGGAGGAGCAGGAUGAUGAAGAUCAUUUAGAUGAUAACUAUGAAGGAUACUAGUAUUAUUUUGUUAUUGAACAUUUUUAUAGAAACACUUGGAUAUUAGAACAUUUGGAUGUUAGAUCAUUUGGAUGUUACAUGAAUUGGAUGUUUUGGAUGUUAGAACAUUAUGUUAGAUUGUUUUAUAUUUCAUUUAUAAAUACAUGUUCUAUUGAUGAUUGGAUGAUUCAGAUGUUAUAUUGUUUUUCUGAUCAAUGAUUGGAUGAUUGAGAUGCAC